This 440-nucleotide ribosomal RNA is filed under the name uncultured bacterium. RNAcentral's name for it is "partial 16S ribosomal RNA". It matches the Rfam family "Bacterial small subunit ribosomal RNA", at positions 338 to 795 of the family's 1533-position model. The record is from RNAcentral.
CCUACGGUGGGCAGCAGUGGGGGAUAUUGCACAAUGGGGGGAACCCUGAUGCAGCGACGCCGCGUGGGUGAAGAAGCGCCUCGGCGCGUAAAGCCCUGUCAGCAGGGAGGAAAAUGACGGUACCUGAAGAAGAAGCCCCGGCUAACUACGUGCCAGCAGCCGCGGUAAUACGUAGGGGGCAAGCGUUAUCCGGAUUUACUGGGUGGAAAGGGGGCGCAGACGGCGAUGCAAGCCAGGAGUGAAAGCCCGGGGCCCAACCCCGGGACUGCUUUUGGAACUGCGUGGCGGGAGUGCAGGAGGGGCAGGCGGAAUUCCUGGUGGAGCAGGGAAAGGCGUAGAUAUCAGGAGGAACACCGGUGGCGAAGGCGGCCUGCUGGACUGCAACUGACGUUGAGGCCCGAAAGCGUGGGGAGCAAACAGGAUUAGAUAGCCGAGUAGUC